Cladorrhinum samala is the source of this 99-nucleotide non-coding RNA. NCBI's taxonomy places the organism in Eukaryota, Fungi, Ascomycota, Sordariomycetes, Sordariales, Podosporaceae. The record is from the annotation of a GenBank genome assembly.
GGCGAAGUGGCCGAGUGGUUAAGGCGCUGUGUUUAGGAAGCUUAUUCCUUCCAAAAACCGCAGUGGGAAACCUCGCGAGUUCGAAUCUCGUCUUCGUCA